AUCAGAGACACAUAAAGGCAAGAAUACCCCCCCUCCCAAUUACUUUACGAGGAAGGGUUGGGAUAAAAGGCUGUAAAUGGGCGUGGUUGGCAUUUUAAAGAAGUAAACAAUCUGCAAACAACAAACAAAGCUAACAUCACUUCCCAGUACAAAUGCCAUCAUAAGACUUCUGAGGAGUGUAAUGCAUUUUAUGCGGAGGCGCCGAAUGGACAAUCCCGCAAACUUUCCACCAGCAGACAACGGAACUGAUUUGGGAGUGAGUGAGAUCAAGCGAGUGAGAUCAUGUCCACAUUGGGACUGGACACUGAAAUGAUUCCGUUCGCCGGUUGCACCGAGACUGUCAAGAUGAUGCAGGCCAGUAUCCAGUGUGAAGGACAUCCAAACUGCCAGGC
Pogona vitticeps (central bearded dragon) is the source of this 392-nucleotide non-coding RNA. The record is from RefSeq and is a predicted model, not a curated record. Lineage: Eukaryota; Metazoa; Chordata; Lepidosauria; Squamata; Agamidae.